GGAUAACCUCGGGAAACCGAGGCUAAUACCGCAUAAAAUCGCAAGAUCAAAGGAGCAAUCCGCUUUUGGAGGGGGUCGCGGCUGAUUAGCUAGUUGGUAGGGUAAUGGCCUACCAAGGCAAAGAUCGGUAUCCGGCCUGAGAGGGCGCACGGACACACUGGAACUGAAACACGGUCCAGACUCCUACGGGAGGCAGCAGUGGGGAAUUUUGCGCAAUGGGGGAAAACCUGACGCAGCAACGCCGCGUGGAGGAUGAAGGCCCUUGGGUCGUAAACUCCUUUCGACCGGGAAGAUUAUGACGGUACCGGUGGAAGAAGCACCGGCU
This 325-nucleotide ribosomal RNA is filed under the name uncultured bacterium. RNAcentral's name for it is "bacterial SSU rRNA". It matches the Rfam family "Bacterial small subunit ribosomal RNA", at positions 141 to 498 of the family's 1533-position model. The record is from RNAcentral.